CCACACACCCCAUCUGCUCCUCUAUCUGCCUCUCCAAAAAUUUUCAAAGUCCGCACCAAUUCUGAGAAUCCGGUCCUUAUCCGAUGAGAGCUCUUUCGACAAGGCUGCCACUCCUUUUUUAAGAUCAAUAUUCGCAUCCUUAAUGGAUCUAAUAAAAGCUUCUAACUCAACUGCUUUAAAUUCAUCAUUGCUCGUUUAAAACUUCUUUGUAUGAAGCCACCAAGUCUUCUCCCCUUUUCACAAGCUCAGGUACCAAUUUCCGUCAACAUCCAAGAACCAAUCUCCAAAAUUAUCAACGAAUGAUGCACAUAAUGCAACGCAUCCAAAGUACCAACAGAGAACAGAGGACAGCAACCAAGAAAAACAGAGUAUGGAGAAUGAAACCAAGAUGAACCGGUGAAGGCCACAUUUUGCGUUUUUGGUUCCCUAGCUUAGAAGUAGAUAUGAACUAAGUGCAUCCCAUGGAAAUGAAAACAAAAACAAAAACAAAACUCCCACAUGAUGAUAAUGAAGCUAAAACAGAGUCGUGUUGCUCUCAAGUCACCCCAAAGAAAAUGAAGGAGAUAACAACAAUAAACCAAACAGAAACCAUGGAACUAAACCCCUAAUCAAGCAGUUCACAUCAAAUACCAAGAAAAGAGAAAGAGACUACAUGCCGACGAAAAGAAAUAAAAGAUCCAUGAAGGUCAUACCUAGGUUUCUCAAAGCUUGGUCAGCUUCUCACGCUUUUUGUUACUCCAAAAAUGGGAAGACUCCAGCUCCUUUCCUCUCCCUAUUCUCUGAUCCCUUUCCUUCCUGUUCCUCCCUCUAUCUCCUGCUUCUAUCUUUCGCAGCAAGCCAUUACCAGCUCUUCUAUUCCUCCCCUCAGCAAGCAUGGCAUCUUCAACCACCAGCAUGGUCGCCUCUGCCUCUUUACGUGUCCACACGUCCAAUGCAACUCCUUCUUGGCAGAAAAGAGGUCCCCCUCCUCACUUCAAAAAAAAUCUCCCAAGUGGUCCUCCCAAACCAAAUGGAAAAACCCCUGGUCUUUGAAGGGGUUUACAAAUAUGCCCCUCUUUGGUAGGGUUCACGAGUGUAAGGAAUAUGAACACUAGAGUGAAAAGAAAGUGUGAAUAAUGAGUGGAAUGAAGUGGACUCUCCUGAAGAACAAAGAAGACCCCAAAGGAACAUUAGUGAAAUACGAACUCACUCAAACCAACAAACGAACACAAAGGCUUUGGUCCUAAGAGAAAAUGAUAUCUCGAAACGCCUCCGAAGCCGCUCUAAGGACUCAGACUCUCUCUAAGACGUCUCCAAGAGUGACUCGAAGGUCAAUGAAAAAAAUGAGCAAUGAUCAAACCACUCUAGAGUACAGGAAAGACUACGCCUUAAGGAGACUAUCCUAUGUGAACUACAUGAAAGUGACAAGCAAAGAGUGCCCAACAACAUGACCGAAGUAUGUGUCAUGAACUCAAAGGAUUGUGUCUCGAGCAGUGAAAAGAGAAAUCUGGAAAAGCGAUGACAAAUAGGCGAUAAGCACAGGGUAACAAGGUGAGGAAAUUGAUGAUAAGUGCAAAGCCAUGGAGGCAAGACGUGUCAAGCCAGUGAAUAUGAAUGCUAGGAACUGUGACCUUGAAUGAUACGGCUAAGGAGGAGUGACUCUGAAUGAUAUGGCUAAAGAGAAGUGACUUUGAAUGUCAAUCAGGAGAAAAGAACAUGAUGACUCAAAAUGCUUGAGUGGAUACGUACAACGACUCUAAAUACCAAAACUAAUAACAAGAUGAUAGUGGCACUAAAUGCCGAACUGAACUGUGGCUCUGAACGUCGGGACUAAGAAAGGAAAUGACUCAAGAUGCAUGAAUGGGUAUGAAAAACGGCUCUAAAUGCCAAAACCAAAGAAAAGAAAUGACUCAAAAGACCCGAAAGGGCGUGCCCGAUGGCUCCGAAUGCCAGAAUUGGGGAAUAGGUGAUGGAUCGAACGAAAGAUAGGCACGAGCACCUUGAGUGUUGAACGAAAACCACGACUCUGAACUCUAAGCAAAAACAAACAAUGGCUCUGAACACCGAAUGAAGAUGUGGAUCUAAAUGCUAGAUGAAGAUGUGGAUCUGAAUGCCAGAUGAAGAUGCUGAACGCUGACAGAAGAUGUGGCCCUGAACGCUGAAACGAAGAAUAAGCAAUGGCUCUGAAUGUCGAACACAGGUGUGAUUCUGAAUGUCGGACGAAGCAAAACAUGGCUCUGAACACCGGGAUGAACGAUGUAAUGGCUCUGAACGUCGAAUGAAGCUGUGACUCUGAACGCCGAAACUGAAGAGUGAUGAUGAAGACUAUGAACGCUAAACAGAAAACACGGUGAUGACUCUGAACGCCGAAACUAAAAAGUGAUGGUGAUGACUCUGAACGUCAAACGGAAAAUGCAACUCGAAACGUCAAACUGAAUACCGAUGAUGGCUUUGAAAACCGAAACUGAGAAUGUGAUUCCGAACGUCAAACUGAGAAGUGGUGGCUCUGAGCGCCGAAACUGAGAAGCGAUGAUGGCUCUGAACGCCAACACUGAGAAUGCGAUGAGGAUGACUCUGAACGCCGAUACUGAGAAGUGAUGAUGAUGACUCUAAACCUCGAAACCGAAAAAUGGUGAUGAUGGCUCUGAACGCCAAGCUGAAAAUGUGAUGAUGAUGGCUCUGAACGCCGAAACCAAAAAUGCGAUGAUGAUGGCUCUGAACGCCGAAACUGAAAAUGCGACUCUGAACGUCAAACUAAAAAUGUGAUGAUGAUGGCUCUGAACGUUGAAACUGGAGAAGUGAUGAUGACUCUGAACGCCGACAUUGAGAAUGCGAUGAGGAUGACUCUGAACGCCGAUACUGAGAAGUGAUGAUGAUGACUUUGAACACCAAGCUGAAAAUGUGAUGAUGAUGGCUCUGAACACCGAAACCAAAAAUGCGAUGAUGAUGGCUUUGAAUGCCGAAACUGAAAAUGCGACUCUGAACGUUAAACUGAAAAUGUGAUGAUGAUGGCUCUGAACGCUGAAAUUGGAGAGGCGGCUCUGAACGCCAAAACUAUGAAACGAUGAUGGCAAUGAACGUCAAACGGAAAACAGGAUGAUGGCUCUGAAUGCCGACACUAAAAAGUGACGGUGGCUCUAAACGCCGAAACUAGAAAGCAAUGGUGGCUUUGAACGCCAAAACUGAAAAUGCGAUGAGGAUGGCUCUGAACACCGACACUGAGAAGUGAUAAUGAUGGCUUUGAACGCCAAAUGAAGAUGUGAUGAUGAUGACUCUGAACGUCAAACUAGGAAGUGAUGAUGGCUCUGAAAGCAGAAACCAAGAAACGUGACAAUGAUGGCUUUGAACGCCAAAACUGAAAAUACGACUCUGAGCGUCAAUCCGAGAAGUGAUGACGGCUCUAAACGUCAAGCUGAAAAAUGAUCAACGACUUUGAACGCCAAAAUGAAAAUGACGGCUCUGAACGCCAAAAUGAAACAAUGGCUCUGAAUGUCAAACCAAAAGAAACAUCGAUGAAUGCCAAUCUGAAACAAAAGCUCUACAUGCCCAACUAAACUGGUAACUAGGAAUGUCAUGCUGAGAAAGAUGACUCUGAACAUCGUAAACGAGAAGACACGAUGGCUCUGAACGCUAAGCUGGAAAGGGUCUGAAAGAGAUUUCAUGAGUCCCGAAAGAUGCUCUGCUAGCAAGUCAGAAUGAUCAAAUUGACUGUGAACAUAGUCUCUCAACCCUCCUAACUAAAUCAUGGGGUCUCAAUCCCAAAGUAACAAUCCACUGAAGAGUCAUGGCUAGUUGGGCGAUCAGAACCCGAACGUUGUGCUCCACUGAAAGCUCAUCUCGACAAAAAACACGGGUAUAGCAAUCAGUAAGGCAAAUACAAUAUAUCUCGGCCGAGUGAUGGAAACUGUUAUGGAUCUGUGAGAGAACGAUCGCCUCCGCAGCUGAAUGAGGGAAAUAUGUCCCAGUAUAAUGUCAGACGUAUCCUAUCUGUCAUGAUAACUCGAGAAUAACUCUAUGGGGAUGCAUAAAAGGUCCAAUAUGUACUCCACUGAAAUGGUGAUGCAGGAAUCCACGUGCCUGAGAUAGCUUUGUCCAAGAAUCACGACUAUAUCAGAGAGUAUGAAUCUGGCUGAAUGACUCAAGAAUAACUCCUUGGAGUAUCAGGAUAAAAUGAAAUCAUAUCAUUGACCUGAUGUGUAUCUCAUAACCGGGGGUGAUCACGCAAAUCAAUGGGGAAUCUACAAAUCCCAACCAAAAUAGGGAACACACUCCAGUGUGGCAUCAAAAUGUGACAAGUCGGAAAAUCAGAUGAGCUCAAAAUCCUCCAUCAUCAAAUGUGCGACCCAAGUCACCCAUGUUUGUAACUGAAUCAGACCCAUAGAUCGAAGGGGCGUUUCCCAGAAGGAAAGUAUGAUGACAUCUAAGUGUCGAGAAGUGCAGGCCUAACCGGGCAACUCUCGAGAGGCCCCAUUGAGGAAUCAUCGUAAAGAUAGUGAAUAGAUCAUCGUCUCGGCGCAUGUCUCACAAAUGGGGAUAAGUAUACAACUGCACCAGGAUCUGUAAGUCUCAUCCAGAACAGUAAUAUGCCCCAGUAUGGCAUCGAACGUAUAAUAGGUCGGAGAUCGGGUGACAUGAAAUCAUCUAUCAUCGAACAUGCGACAUCCGUGAAGAUUCGUAAAUCUCAUCCGAAACGGAAAUAUGCCCCAGUAUGGCAUUAGGUGCACGACAGGUCCGAAUAACAAAUGACAUGAAAUCAUCUAUCGUCACACUUGUAAUCCUGGUCAUCCGUAAAUCUCAUUCGAAACGAAAAUAUGCCUUAGUAUGGCAUCAGGCACACGACAGGUCCGAAGAACAAAUGACAUGAAAUCAUCUAUCGUCGCACAUAUAAUCCUGGUCAUCCGAAUCUAUAACUGAAUCAUGCCCAUAGAUCCAAGAUGUACCUCCCGAAUGGAGAAGCAUGAUGACAUCUAAGUGCCGAGAAGUGCGGGCCUAGAUGGAUGGCUCUCGGGAUGCUCCACUGAAGAAUCAUGAUAAGGUAACGAUCAUGUCCAUGUCUCAGUGAGCAUCCAGUAAGUGAUAAUGAUCGUGCGAGUCCCCGAGGAUCCAUAAACCUCUAAGUAAAAAUUGGAUAUGCCCUAGUGUGGCACUAGAGGUACGAUAGGUCAAAAAUCGGGUGACACCAAAUCAUCCAUCGUCAAACACAUGAUCCCGGUAAUCUUGAACACAACUGAAUCAGACCUACACAUCAAAGAGGUGACUCCCAGAAGAAGAAGCAUGACGAUAUCUAAAUAUCACCGGAUCUCAAGCACCUGUCCAAGUAGAGGCUGCCGAAGACGUCAUUUGAUCCCAUGGCCUCAGGGUGGUCUUAAGACACGAGACGUAACGUAGGCUAGGGUGAUAGGUGAUAGAAAUGAAGGGAAACUAGGCUCAAAUACCCAACGAUCAGAAACUCAUGCCCUCAUAUGUGAAAUGCAACAUGUAUAGUAAAUCCCGUGAGCCGUAGACUUGAGGAUGCCUAACGUGAAUAUGAUGUGAAUAACAAGACAAUGAGGCAAAUCAAACUGAUAAUGAGAUAUGCAGGAACGAUGAAAGGGAAACGUCACAUCUGGAAUAGGUCAAUGUAGGAAAAGAACAAGAGGGGGGGGGGGGGGGGGGGGUAAAACGAAUGAGAUGAAUCACAAGCAAUGACAAAGAUGACAGUGGAACAAUGAAUAUACGAAGAAAGGUGGUGAUCGACUCAAAUCAAACAUGAAGUGAAGCCACAUCAAUAAUGAAUGUAAUGAUGGAAAGGAUAAUGACUCGGAGUCCUUAGGAGAAGGUCACUCAUCUCACUCUCAAAGAGAUACGACAAAGCAAAUACAAAUAACAUAGGAUCCUAAAGAGCUCACAUACGAACUCUCAAUAAUGAACAUACUCGAUAAAAAUGACCCUCGAAUAUCAAUAUACACACUCAAUGAUCGAGAACACUAUGCACAUUCACACAUGUGCUUAUUUUUUCUUUUCUUUUCAUUUUCAUUUUCAUUUUCAUUUUCAUCAUCAUUUUUUUUUUUUACGUAUAUACAAAUACACAUACCCUAAACAUGAACAAAUGAACCCCAAGGAUGAUAUCGAUAACGGGGACACCAUCUCAAGUGCUAAGGCAACCAAAACUCUCUCUAACGAGAUGACCUUCUCAAACUAAGGAUUUCUAAACCAAUGUCCACAAGAUAGAUGGUGGAAAUGAUGUGACUAUCCUCCAUGUGAUGAACUGAGGAGGAUCACCACUCAGGGUGGAGAGAAUAUGAAACAAACAAGUAAUAGAUAGGAUAAGGAAGAAGAGACGAGGAACACAACCAACGAGAUGAGAUGAAAAUGCAAAGGUGCAGUGAUAAGAAAAGAUAAUGAGAAAAACGUGCCCCUAGGUCCAAGGCUCAUGAAACUCCCAAACAAUGCAUGCACACAUUAAAGGGCCCCUAUCCCGGUGUGAAAAUAUGAGCAAGGCGAUAAGAAAGAAAGGUUAUAAUGCGCAUGCGAGGCUCAAUGGGCUAGCAACGGACUAUGUAUCAAAAGGGAAUAACAAGGUAUAUGGCUAACCGAAAUGGUGGCCACCCAUCAUAUGACCAUGGUCUCAAACAUAGUACCUCUUUAGUUGAUCCACAUUGGUCGGCUCUGAGAAUCGGUUUCCAUCUAAAUCCAUCAACCAUGUAGCGCCCUCUAGGGUCAACUCCCUAAUGAAAUAAGGUCCGCUCCAGUUGGGUUUGAACUUCCCUCUAGGAUCUCUGAUCAAUCCCUUGAUGACUUUUAGAACCAAGUCACCUAUCCGUAAUGGUCGGGGCUUGACCCGCCUUUUGAAAGCGCAUGCCAUCUUUCUCUGAUAUGUACGAACAUGGUCGGCUGCUCUCAAUCUCCUCUCAUCUAGGAGAUUGAGCUGAUCAAAUCGAGCCUGAGCCCAAUCUGCCUCGGGAAUCUACUACUCUAGUGCUACUCUCAAUGAACCCAUCUCGAUCUCAACUGGUAGCACCGUUUCCAUGCCGUAUACCAAUGAAUAGGGUGUGAGUCCUAUAGAGGUGCGAAAAGAAGUCCGAUAAGCCCACAAUGCAAAUGGGAGCUUCUCUGAACAAUCCCGAGAAGUCUCAACCAUCCUCCAUAAAAUCCUCUUAAUAUUCUUAUUUGCAGCCUCUAUUGCUCCGUUUGUCUGCGGCUUGUACGCAGACGACCUAUGAUGUCAGAUCUUGUAUCCCUGUACUAAGGUGUCAACCUCUACUUUGAAAUGUACCCCUCUAUCCGAAAUCAACUCAUGAGGGACUCCAUAGCGAUAGAUAAUGUGUGAUAUGAUGAAACUAGCAACUCCAGAUGAUGUCAAUCUCGCAUACGAAGCAGCCUCCACCCACUUGGUGAAGUAAUCGAUGGUGACCAAGAUGAACUCAUGACCACUGGAAGAUUUUGGUGAAAUCCUCCCAAUGAUAUCAAUACGCCAUACGGAAAAUGAUCAUGGUGAAGUCAGUGCAUGCAACUCGGAGGGCGGCACGUGAAUGAGGUCCCCAUGUAUCUAACACUCGGGACAUCUCUGAACAAACUGACAACAAUCCGUCUCCAUGGUCAACUAGAAAUAGCCAGUCCUCAUGAUCUUAUGGGCCAACAUAUGCCCUCCCAUAUGUGGUCCGCAGACUCCCGCAUGAACCUCCCUCAUCACUCUAUCGGUAGAGGCUCUGUCCAAGCACAAUAGUAGCAUCCCAUCAGCUGAUCGUCUAUACAAUGUCUCGCCACAAAUCACGAAUUAGGCGGCUAACUGUCUCAAUGCUCUCUUAUCCUUGCCCGUGGCGGCCUCAGGAUAUACUCCAAGUCUCAGAAAGUGAUAUAUGUCAUGGUACCAGGGCAAACCAUCGUCUAUCUCCGUAUCAUCAAUCAAACAACAAUACGCGGGAGCAAAUCUCGACUCGAUCAACAAUGGGCGAACAGUGGCAUCAGCAGGAAUGUCAAUCAUGGAAGCUAGAGUAGCUAAAGCAUCAGCAAACUAGUUCUGCACUCUAGGCAGAUGGGUAUAUCUCAAAUCAUCGAAUCUCUCAACCAGUAGCUCUAAAUAUGCGUGGUAAGGCCUAAGCUUCGCAUCUCUAGUCUUCCACUUACCCUGAAUCUGUCUCAAUACCAGAUUGGAGUCACCAAACACCUUCAUCUGUCUAAUCCCGAGCUCGAGGGCUGUCUCUAAUCCCAAGAUACAAGCUUCAUACUCAACAAUGUUGUUCGUGGCAGGAUGUCGAUCCGAGAAUGCCAGACGAACAGAUCUGGGGAUAUGAUCACCAUGGGGGGAUAUCAACAAGAUGCCUAUCCCGUAUCCAGAAUGGUUGGUUGCACCAUCAAAGUACAUGCGCCAUCCUGACAGACUGGUCACAACAGUGACAUCCUCGUCUGGGAAGUCGUCAUCAAUGACUCUGCCAUCAGAAACUGGUAAAGAAGCUAGGUGAUCUGCGACAAUGCUCCCUCUCAUGGACUUCUGAGUGACAUAAUGGAUGUCAAACUCAGUCAGAAGUACUAACCAUCUCAUGAGAUGACUGACCAAAGUAGGCCUGUCAAACAAAUAUCUCAGAGGAUUUAGACGGGAUAUCAGAUGCACUAAAUACUCAAUCAUGUAGUGUCUUAAUCGUCGAGUGGCCCAAACCAAUACCAAGCAAUAACGCUCAAUCAUAACAUAUCUCGUCUCGUAAUCUAGCAUCCUCUUACUCAGAUAAUAAAUGACUCUAUCCUUGCCCGAAUCAUCAAGCUGAGCCAACAUGCAUCCCAAGGCCACGUCUGAGAGGUGACAACAAAUACUCUCUGAUCCUCUCGAAUGCGCGCUGACACUGAUCAUCCCAAACAGUAGGUUGACUCUUCGUCAAGAGUCUAAAAAUAGGCUCACAGAUGUCUGUCAAUCUGGCAAUGAACCUAAUGAUGUACUGAAGUCUACCCAAGAAGCCUCUAACCUUUCUCUCUGUCCUCGGUGCUGGCAUGUCAAGGAUGGCUCUGAUCUUGUCCAGAUCUACCUCUAUGCCUCUCUCACUGACCAUAUACCCCAAGAGUUUCCCAGAAGUUACUUCGAAAGUGCACUUCUUGGGAUUCAGUCUCAAUCUGAACUGUUAGAUCCUCUCAAAGAACCUCUUCAAAGCUGCUAGGUGACCUGGUCUCUCUCGGGAUUUCACUAUCAUGUCGUUUACAUAAACCUCGACAUCUCGAUGCAUCAUGUCAUGGAAGAGGGUGGUCGCUGCUCUCUAAUAGGUGGCUCCUGCGUUCUUCAAUCCGAAUGGCAUGACUCUAUAGCAAUAAGUACCCCACUCGGUAAUGAAAGACGUCUUCUCCAUGUCAUUUGGAGCCAUCAAGAUCUUACUGUACCUGGAAAAUCCGUCCAUAAAGGACAACAUCGAAUGACCUGCCAUACUGUCAAUUAGCAUGUGAUACGUGGAAGAGAAAAAUCAUCCUUAGGACUGGCUUUGUUGAGAUCUCGAAAAUCAACAUAGACUCUCACCUUGCCGUCCUUUUUGGGAACAAGGACGACAUUGGCCAGCCACUCCGGGUACUCGACCACUAAUAAAAAUCCUACACUGGGCUACUUUUGAAUCUCCUUCUUCACCUGUAAACUCCAAUGAGGGUGUAAUCGUCUCAACUUCUGCUUAAUCGGUCUAGCAUGGGGCAGAAGUGGCAAACGAUGUUGGACGAUAGAUGGAUCAAGGCCUGGCAUGUCCUCAUAGGACCAUGCGAAAACGUCUAAGUAAGAUCUGAGCAGCUGGAUGAGGCUAUCCCUCUCAUCCGUAGAUAAAUUCGAUCCGAUCCUCAACUCUCUAGGAUGAUUUGCUGCGCCAAAAUCAACAAUCUCCGUGUCUCCUACAGUAGGUGAAACUCUCUAAUCAACGGGAUCCGAAUCGGAAGCAAAAGAUGAGUCAUCGUUUGAAUCAUGCUGCGCAACCUCAUCAUCAAUGUCAAGAAUCUAUGAUGUGGGUGAAGAUGGUGCGGAAAAAGCAUUAACAUAAGAGAUAGGCAAAUACUCAAAGAUGCUCAAAUCCAUAGAUGAGAAGUCAGAAACAUAGUCAUGACGGGAGACAAAUCCCGAUAAAACAUAAAAGGAAAGAGGUGGGUCCACAAAGUCGAAUGCUCCCUCAACUAGGCCAACAGGGCCAUCAAACAAACCGUCAACAACUAUAACAUCCUCAGCAACCUCCAGAGCAGGAGCGACUUGGAUCUCCUCGACGAUCUCGAGAACGGACACCUCGAAGAGAUAAAAUGGUGAAGCGAGCUCAAGCGGGGUUAUCUCCUCGAUCUGGCUCAAACUCAUCGCGAACAUUUCGUCAAUGUACUCGUCAUGUGGCGCGGCUUCGUUUACUAUGUCGCUAAUCUCGACAAAUGUCCCGUGAUCAUCGAUCUCCUCCGGGAAGCAGAGCGUCAUAAGGCUCAUGCGAUCUGGGGAGGAAGGAGCAAUCAACGAAGAAGUCGAAGGGCCAAGGGCUCUGUCACUCAACCGUAACUGCUGGACGAGGUGCUAAAGCUCGGCCUCUUAGGUGAUGCUGAGUCCUCCGAUGAUCCCAUCAGACGGUGCAUGUGACUUUGAUGCCCUCACAAAGUAAUCGGCUAGGCUCAUGGUGUAUGGACGGACAGGAUAAUAAAACGGCGUGUGAGUCAGCCGAGCCCUCACCCUCUCUUUGCGCAAUAGCGCCAUAUAACGAUAAUCGGCCUCAGUGGGAAUAAAUCCGAGCCCGAAUAGUACAUCAUGGUCCGGAAAGGCCAUGAACUCACUAGGCUCGUGCUGACGCCACCCUAAACCCAUGCUGGGAAGAUAGGACAUGCUCCGCAUAAUAUCGAGCACCAUCGUGCUGCUGUGCUGGUCGAAGGACAUGGCUACAAAGUCUCAACAGAAAUCCUCCAUCUCCAGAGUCUACACCUCAUCAAAGGUGAAUCCGGUCAGAAAAAGAUAAUCAUCAGUGUGACUAAUCUCGAGUACGGGCUAGGCUGAAAUGAACAUAUCCCCCACAAACUGCACCACGACGACCUGGCCAUCAUGAAUAAACUUCACCUUCUGAUGAAGGGAAGAAGGAAUGGCCCCAGCUCUAUGGAUCCAUGGUCGGCCCAGAAAUAGGUUAAAGGAUGUAGGAAUCCUCAAAACCUGAAACACGACGACAAAAGUGGUCGGACCAAUCAAUAGCUCAAUCUCUAGUAUACCCAUGACCUCCCUUCGAGUGCUAUCAUACACACGAAUGGUCUGAGUGGAGGGACCGAAAUCCGAUGGUGCGUAGCCGAGGGCAAUGGCGGUGGCCAGAUGAUAGACGUUCAGGGCCAAGCCAUUGUCCAGAAGGACAGAUGGGACUUGGCGGCCUGAAUAACCGACAAAUAUAUAGAGUGGACGUGUAUGAUCUGGGCCCUCUGGUGGCAAGUCGUCAUCGGAGAAUACAAUGCAUGUGGCUCUACCGGCCGUCAUCAUAUGAAUCAAUCCCUCAGGGAAGGUGGUAGUCUCAACCCUAAUCUGGCUCAAAGCUCAAAUCAGAGCAUCACGGUGAGUGCUCGAGGAUGCCAACAGGCUCCAGAUGGAAAUACGAGCCUAAGUGCUCUAUAGCUGUCUCAAGAUCUCAUCGUCUUCUGCUCUGACCUUCUUAGGAGCAGAUGUACCCUUAACUGGCAUGGCUGCUGUGGGAGGUGGUUGUUGCAUCACUCUACCUCCUCGGAGAAUAUACUGAACGUCCAGAGUCUGAGAAUCAUCAACGUGUGGAGCCUGAACCCCCUAAACAUCCGGGAUCAAGAUGAAUGGCGCCUGGACGCUGUAAUGUGGCAAAAUCAGUGGCUCAAUAGUGGCAAUCUGCACUGAUGCCGCCUCGGGAAUUAAUCGGAAUGGAGCAGGCAUCCGAAGUCCUAGAGUCACCCCACUCAUCUCAUAAAUCACAUAUGGCAUGAUGGGCACUGGGUCUGAAUCGUCCUUACUCAACAUGUGGACAUGGUCGUCGAUCUCAUCAAAGUCCAAGAAAUGAAUACCAUCUGUUGGUGGAGGAACUACAUGUGUGGUGUGGGUUGGUAACGGGUUUGUGGUCACACUCGGCUGACCCAAGUGUACCAAACCCUGGUCGAUCAAAUCUUGGACGGCAUGUCUCAAAGCGGUGCAUCGAUUGGUCUCGUGUCUAGGCCCUUAAUGGUAUGCACAGUGCAAAUCCAUCCUGAACUGAGGUGAAAUCUGCUGAGGUGGCGGCCUAGGAGCGAGAGCAGUCAACAACCUUGCCUCUAUAAGCUUCCAAAAAGCCUGGCGCAACGGCAUGCCUAAUUGCGAGAACUGCCUAUGUGUCCUCAAAGCAAAUGGAGCAGAAGUUUGCUGAGCUCUGGGUCGAGGAUAAGGCGAUGCGGGUCUCGUCGUGAAUUGAGCAGCAUAGCAUGGCUGUCCUGUGGCUGUGUAGGAAACUGGGGGUCUCUCGAUGCCCUGUGUGGCAUAAUAAGGCAAAGCCAAAGUCUGUGGCACAUAGGUCUGAUCAUAAGUCGGGCGAGGUGCCUGAGGCCUGUACUGCUAAGGUGGAUAAGAGGGAUGAGUCUCAGGGAACCGUGAGACUGGCAAAUAACGCCUAGGAGGCCUCUGAUUAGAAGAACCGAUGGCGCUCACAUCAACUGACCUCUGUCAUCCCAAGGGUUUCUUCCCCUUAACAUCACUAGGGGAAGAAUCAGUCCACAAUCCCCUCAAGAUGCCGUCCUCGACAUCGUAUAAAGCCGAAACCAACGAACCAAAAUCUGUGAAGGGUACCUCGACCAUGUGUCUGGCAAUCCUGGGUUGUAGACUCCUCAAAACCAUCUGUAUCUGAUCCCUUUCCGGAGGCCUGUCAAUGAUCUCGACAAUCUUCCCGCGCUAGCGGGAGAUGAAUGAUGAAACUGACUCAUCUGUCCUCUAUCUCAAAGCCUCGAACUCUCUCCUUGAUACACCUACGAUAGUGUUAAAUGAAAACUGUCGUAAGAACUCCUGGGCCAAGUCGUCCCAUGUCCGACGUCGUGAGGACUCCAGGGAUGCAAACCAGCAUUGGGCUACCCUACUCAGAGAUAGCGGGAACAGAGUGAUCAUCUGCGACUCGUCCAGACCAUGAGCCCUCAUCACUGUGCUAUAGAGCAAAGGUGGAUGCGUGGACAACCAAUGCCCGUAUAUCUCUCGAUGUCUAGCAUCCUGAACUUGGCUGGUAGACUGGCCACUGGUAUACUAUCAAGAUCAUCCCAAACUGAUGAACUGUCAGAUACCCUCAACUGCCUGAUACGCUGCUCAAUACGGUCCAUACGUGCAUGAGCGUCAUCAGUGAUUGUGGUCGGAACGACUACAGUUGGAGCAACCUCAAAAUGCCCAUGCAAUACAUAAGGUGAGGCCUGAGGCACCGUCGGCGCGGGUGGUGGCAGUGGUUGUGGCAACGAAUCAUGAAGAGUCUCAUCUUGAACUAUGGGCGGUUUGCUCUACUAGCGGCCAAUCUCCUGCUUGAGGCUAGCCAAAGCCUCUUAGAUAGAAGUCAUGGCGGCCGUAAACUGAUCCACUGUAACAACUUGUUGAUCCAUACUCGAUCUCUCGGAAUGACGGACUAAUCUCCCCUCUACUCUGACCCAAAGAGGCGUAUCCAGACUGUGAACGAAGAUCCGAUCCUGAAAAUGCAAAGAAAUGAAUAAGGAUAUGGCCCGGGGAAAGCAUAGCAGUAAUAAUAAUCUGAACGGAAACAAGCAAGGCAUCCAAGUGAAGACGGACGGUCCGACCGCACUCAAACUCAUACUGAUCUCUAUGCACUCUCAACUGGAGACUGAAGAAAGAGUAUCGGAAUCCAAGCUAUGACUACAGAGGCUCUGAAAGCCCUCAGAUGCACCCACGUGUAGAGAGGGAGUCCUAAUUGAAGGAUCUACUACUCAACCUACGAGAUGAAGGUGGCUCUAAAUGGAUAUGGGUGGACUUUAAAGGAUCCCUAGCAGAAGCGAUCAUACCCUCCAGCGGUAUGCAACCCUCUGCAUGCCUCCGAAGAGAAAGGGCGCUUCCAUGCAAGGUGGUCAUCACCUCCACACAUGCAUUACCUCGACAUCCCAAGGGGUUUCCUAUGGUGAAACCUCUCAAACUCCCAACGCUCAAUGGUCAACUAGAGUGCACAGUGAACGGUGUGGGUGCAUCCGAUAACCCUAGGAAGCUAAAACAGAAAAUGAAACACACUGGCCACACAAAUAUCCAUGAAACCUAGCUCCGGGCUAUACGGGUCUUCAAUGAUCGGACUCCAAUCGACAUCAAAGUGUUGCUCUCCUCUAGAAUGCUCCCGUACAUUGAUAUAGCCCAUUACUAGACCCUACUCCUAAUCCCUGGCUCGGUUAGAGAGCAAUCGCACAGAAGGUCUCACACUUGCAAUAGUGAGAACCGGGAUGAAAGGAAUGACUGAAACUAAGAGAGUGGGAAGUAGGGGGAUAUAUGUGGGACCCACUUAGACAAGCGACAUGCAAUCAUGCAGAGGAAUGGUAGUCAUGCAACAUAUAAUCAAGUAGAAUACAAGAUAUAUCACUCAUGUCCACACAAAAGCUAUGACGAUCAGGACGAAUAGCGACACAAACAUCAUGCUCAAAAGACGAUCAAGAUAAUAUGCGAGCCAGAGAAAAUAACACAGCAAGUCAAACGAUGUACAAUAGUGAGUCUAUGCAUGUGAAGUGAGCAGAAUAAUAAAGAAGAAACAGAAUCGCUAUACCAAGCAAGACAAGAUGAGCAAUCUAUGAUAAUCGGCAUGUCAAUGUACCAAACUAAACUAGCAAUGAAGUACAGAAAAAGCAACAUCCGAAGCCCCAAUCAAGAUAAUCAAUCAUAUCAAUGUCACAACACAAUAUCCAAGCAUGCAUAAAAAAUUCCCAAUGUGCAAUCAAGAAAUAGGUAACCACUGAUCGACUCAUCGAAUGCCACAUUUGCUUCAUCUUAAGUUCAAGUUUGACCCUCUACCUUCCCCAGUGGAGUCGCCAUUUUGUGGACUCCGCAUUUCGGUUCACACGUUUUCCACUCGAUGGCUGGCUCGAUUUUUAUUUGAAAAAUGAUUUUAUUUAUUAGAAAAUGACUUGGAGUCGCCACUUAUCUUUGUUUUAUUUUCAAAGGGUAAACAAAAUAAGAAAGAAAACCCUAAGUGCAACUCCUUAUUUUGGAAAAGGUGGUCUAUGAAAAACCGGAUCGGGCUCGGGGGUCAGGUUACUUAUUGGGAAGGUACGAUUAAGACCGUAGCACCCCUCUGAGUCCCUAAAGUCGGGUCUCUACUAAUAAAAUGAAGUUGUCAUGGCAAUCAAUAGGAAAAUCAACGGAUACUCAGGGUGAUCAUGUACAUGGGAAAAUCAAAACACUCAAUAAAGAACGAUCGAAGUGAGAACGGGGCAUACCUUAGCAUCAAUCGAUCAAUACGCUAUCAAGAAAAAGGGUUAGUACGCAAUUAAAAGAAUAAUCUCAUGUGUGUCAUAGAGCAGAAUGAAUCGAUCAUGUGUGAUAAUCAAAUCAAUCAAUCACUUAAUCAUAAAAUCACUUAUAUAGGGCCCCCACUACAGCCCGUUUAUUUUGCAUGAAUUAAUAUCACAAAUUCUAUUAUUCCGGAAUUAUGAGAAAUUCAUUUCUGCUUAUUAAAAUCAAGAGGAGUAGAAGAUUGUGUGAAAACCAGAAUGGAAUUAAAACCAUUUGAGAGAAAAUCGGAUUUUUGAAAUUUAUUUGAAAAAUUGGAGUCUCAAAGGUUACUUAAAAAUUGGAGUUUUCGAGUUUAUUUGAAUAUCAAACUUUUAUAAAUUAAAUGUAAGAAUGAGAAUUUUAGAAAUUAAAUUUGAACGAGAUUGAAAAUUUGAAAAUGAUUUGAGAGUUCGGGAUUUUAAAUGAGUGGAUAAGUGGAUGAGUGAAUAAGUAAAUGAAUGGAAUAAUGACAAUGGUGAAAUAAUAAAGAUCAAAUAAAUAAUUACGAGAGAUGGAAUUUUUAGAGAUUGGAGAUUAAACUUAUAGAUUAAAAAUUUAAGAAAUUAUUUCGAGAUGAGAUCUUUGGUAUAUGAAUAAUUGAAUAAGUAAAUGGAUGGAGGAACAUUAAUAAGGAAAAUAAUCAUUAAACAGCGGUAUAUGAACGGUGGAGUUUUUGAGAUUAGAAAUUACAUUUGGAAGUCGGGUUCUGAAGAAUUAAAUUUUAAUGAUUGGAAUAAAUAAAUAAAUAUGGAAUAAUAAUGCUAAUUAAGGAAAAUAAUAUUUAAACGAAUAAAAAAUGAGUAGUGGGAUUUUUGAGAUUGAAAAUUAAAUUAGGACGUUGGAUUUUUGAAGAAUUGGACUUUAAAUAAAUAAAUGAAUAUAGGAUAAUAAUUCUACUUAAGGAAAAUAACAUUUAGACGAAUAGUGGAAUUUUUAGGAUUGAAAAUUAAAUUAGGACAUUGGAUUUUUGAAGGAUUAGACUUUAAAUAAAUGAAUAAUCAUUGGAUAAUAAUUCUAAUUAACGAAAAUAACAUUUAGACGAAUAGUGGAAUUUUUAGGAUUGAAAAUUAAAUUACGACAUUAGCUUUUCGAAGGAUUAGAAUUUAAAUAAAUAAAUAAAUGUGGGAUAAUAAUUCUAAUUAACGAAAAUAACAUUUAGACGAAUAGUGGAAUUUUUAGGAUUGAGAAUUAAUUUAGGACAUUAGCUUUUCGAAGGAUUAGACUUCAAAUAAAUAAAUAAAUGUGAGAUAAUAAUUCUAAUUCACGAAGAUCACAUUUAGACGAAUAGUGGAAUUUUUAGGACUGAAAAUUAAAUUACGACGUCUGAUUUUUUUGAAGAAUUGAAUUUUAAUGAUUGGAAUUUUUAAAAGAAUUAAAUGAAUAAAUACGGAAUAAUGAAAAUGAUUUCAAGAAUAAUAUCUAAACGGAUGAAAGCAAAUAGUCGAAUAUUUGAAAUUGAAAAAUAAAUUAGGAAAUCAAAUUUUGGAAGAAUUGAAUUUUAAUGAUUAAAAUUUUUAAAAGAAUUAAAUGAAUAAAUGCGGAAUAAUGGUAAUGAUAACAAGAAUAAUAUCUAAACGAAUGAAAGUAAAUAAUCGAAUAUUUGAAUUUGAAAAAUAAAUUAGGAAGUCAGAUUUUUAGAGAAUUGAAUUUUAAUGAUUAGAAUUUUUAAAAGAAUUAAAUACAUAAAUACGGAAUAAUGAUAAUGAUAACAAGAAUAAUAUCUAAACGGAUGAAAGUAAAUAGUCGAAUAAUUGAAAUUAUAAAAAUAAAUUAGGAAGUCAAAUUUUUGAAGAAUUGAAUUUUAAUGAUUAGAAUUUUAAAAAGAAUUAAAUGAAUAAAUACGGAAUAAUGAUAAUGAUAACAAGAAUAAUAUCUAAACGGAUGAAAGUAAAUAGUCGAAAAUUUGAAAUUAAAAAAUAAAUUAGGAAGUCAAAUUUUUGAAAAAUUGAAUUUUAAUGAUUAGAAUUUUUAAAAGAAUUAAAUGAAUAAAUACGAAUAAUGGUAAUGAUAACAAGAAUAAUAUCUAAAUGGAUGAAAGUAAAUAUUCGAAUAUUUGAAAUUGAAAAAUAAAUUAGGAAGUCAUAUUUUUGAACAAUUGAAUUUUAAUGAUUAGAAUUUUUAAAAGAAUUAAAUGAAUAAAUACGGAAUAAUGGUAAUGAUAACAAGAAUAAUAUCUAAACGGAUGAAAGUAAAUAGUCGAAUAUUUGAAAUUGAAAAAUAAAUUAGGAAGUCAUAUUUUUGAAGAAUUGAAUUUUAAUGAUUAGAAUUUUUAAAAGAAUUAAAUGAAUAAAUGCGGAAUAAUGGUAAUGAUAACAAGAAUAAUAUCUAAACGGAUGAAAGUAAAUAGUCGAAUAUUUGAAAUUGAAAAAUAAAUUAGGAAGUCAAAUUUUUGAAGAAUUGAAUUUUAAUGAUUAGAAUUUUUAAAAGAUAUAAAUGAAUAAAUGCGGAAUAAUGGUAAUGAUAACAAGAAUAAUAUCUAAACGGAUGAAAGUAAAUAGUCGAAAAUUUGAAAUUGAAAAAUAAAUUCGGAAGUCAAAUUUUUGAAAAUUUGAAUUUUAUUAUUAGAAUUUUUAAAAGAAUUAAAUGAAUAAAUGCAGAAUAAUGGUAAUGAUAACAAGAAUAAUAUCUAAACGGAUGAAAGUAAAUAGUCGAAUAUUCGAAUUUGAAAAAUAAAUUAGGAAGUCAGAUUUUUGAAGAAUUGAAUUUUAAUGAUUAGAAAUUUUAAAAGAAUUAAAUGAAUAAAUACGAAAUAAUGGUAAUGAUAAUGAGAAUAAAAUCUAAACGGAUGAAAGUAAAUAGUCGAAUAUUUGAAAUUGAAAAAUAANNNNNNNNNNNNNNNNNNNNNNNNNNNNNNNNNNNNNNNNNNNAUAUCUAAACGGAUGAAAGUAAAUAUUCGAAUAUUUGAAAUUGAAAAAUAAAUUAAGAAGUCAGUUUUUGAAGAAUUGAAUUUUAAUGAUUAGAAAUUUUAAAAGAAUUAAAUGAAUAAAUACGAAAUAAUGGUAAUGAUAACGAGAAUAAAAUCUAAAUGGAUGAAAGUAAAUAGUCGAAUAUUUAAAAUUGAAAAAUAAAUUAGGAAGUCAAAUUUUUGUAGAAUUGAAUUUUAAUGAUUAGAAUUUUUAAAAGAAUUAAAUGAAUAAAUACGGAAUUAUGAUAAUGAUAACAAGAAUAAUAUCUAAACGGAUGAAAGUAAAUAUUCGAAUAUUUGAAAUUGAAAAAUAAAUUAAGAAGUCAAAUUUUUGAAGAAUUGAAUUUUAAUGAUUAGAAUUUUGUAAGAGAAUUAAAUGAAUAAAUACGGAAUAAUGAUAAUGAUAACAAGAAUAAUAUCUAAACGAUGAAAGUAAAUAGUAGAAUAUUCGAAUUUGAAAAAUAAAUUAGGAAGUCAGAUUUUUGAAGAAUUAAAUGAAUAAAUACGAAAUAAUGGUAAUGAUAACGAGAAUAAAAUCUAAACGGAUGAAAGUAAAUAGUCGAAUAUUUAAAAUUGAAAAUAAUUAGAAUUUUUAAAAGAAUUAAAUGAAUAAAUACGGAAUAAUGAUAAUGAUAACAAGAAUAAUAUCUAAACGGAUGAAAGUAAAUAUUCGAAUAUUUGAAAUUGAAAAAUAAAUUAGGAAGUCAAAUUUUUGAAGAAUUGAAUUUUAAUGAUUAGAAUUUUGUAAAAGAAUUAAAUGAAUAAAUACGGAAUAAUGAUAAUGAUAACAAGAAUAAUAUAUAAACGGAUGAAAGUAAAUAGUCGAAUAUUUGAAAUUAAAAAAUAAAUUAGGAACUCAAAUUUUUGAAGAAUUGAAUUUUAAUUAUUAGAAUUUUUAAAAGAUAUAAAUGAAUAAAUGCGGAAUAAUGGUAAUUAUAACAAGAAUAAUAUCUAACCGGAUGAAAGUAAAUAAUCGAAUAUUUGAAAUUGAAAAAUAAAUGAGGAAGUCAGAUUUUUGAAGAAUUGAAUUUUAAUGAUUAGAAUUUUUAAAAGAAUUAAAUGAAUAAAUGCGGAAUAAUGGUAAUGAUAACAAGAAUAAUAUAUAAACGGAUGAAAGUAAAUAGUCGAAUUUAUGAAAGUAAAUAGUCGAAUAUUUGAAAUUGAAAAAUAAAUUAGGAAGUCAAAUUUUUAAAGAAUUGAAUUUUAAUUAUUAGAAUUUUUAAAAGAUAUAAAUGAAUAAAUGCGGAAUAAUGGUAAUGAUAACAAGAAUAAUAUCUAACCGGAUGAAAGUAAAUAGUUGAAUAUUUGAAUUUGAAAAAUAAAUUAGGAAGUCAAAUUUUUGAAGAAUUGAAUUUUAAUAAUUAGAAAUUUUAAAAGAAUUAAAUGAAUAAAUGCGCAAUAAUGGUAAUGAUAACAAGAAUAAUAUCUAACCGGACGAAAGUAAAUAGUCGAAUAUUUGAAAUUGAAAAAUAAAUUAGGAAAUCAAAUUUUGGAAGAAUUGAAUUUUAAUGAUUAGAAUUUUUAAAAGAAUUAAAUGAAUAAAUGCGGAAAAAUGGUACUGAUAACAAGAAUAAUAUCUAAACGGAUGAAAGUAAAUAGUCAAAUAUUUGAAAUUGAAAAAUAAAUUAGGAAUUCAAAUUUUGGAAGAAGUGAAUUUUAAUGAUUAGAAUUUUUAAAAUAAUUAAAUGAAUGAAUGCGGAAUAAUGGUAAUGAUAACAAGAAUAAUAUAUAAACGGAUGAAAGUAAAUAGUCGAAUAUUCGAAAUUUAAAAAUAAAUGAGGAAAUCAGAUUUUGGAAGAAUUGAAUUUUAAUGAUUAGAAUUUUUAAAAGAAUUAAAUGAAUAAAUGCGGAAUAAUGGUAAUGAUAACAAGAAUAAUAUCUAAACGGAUGAAAGUAAAUAGUCGAAUAUUUGAAUUUGAAAAAUAAAUUAGGAAGUCAGAUUUUUUAGGAAUUGAAUUUUAAUGAUUAGAAUUUUUAAAAGAAUUAAAUGAAUAAAUACGGAAUAAUGAUAAUGAUAGUAAGAAUAAUAUCUAAACGGAUGAAAGUAAAUAGUCGAAUAUUUGAAAUUGAAAAAUAAAUUAGGAAGUCAAAUUUUUGAAGAAUUGAAUUUUAAUGAUUAGACUUUUUAAAAGAAUUAAAUGAAUAAAUAUGGAUAAUGAUAAUGAUAACAAGAAUAAUAUCUAAACGGAUGAAAGUAAAUAGUGAAAUUUUUUAGACUGAAUAUUAAAUUAGGAAGUCAGAUUUUUGAAUAAAUGAACUUUAAUGAUUUUAUUUUUUAAAAGAAAUAAUUAAAGAAACAUGGAAUAAUAAUAAUAAUAAUAAUAAUAAUAAUAAUAAUAAUAAUAAAAUAUUUAAACAGAUGAAAGUGAAUAGUGAAUAGUGAAAUUUUUUAGAGUGAAAAUUUGAAGAGGUAUUUAGAGAUGUGAUUUUAAAUAAAUGAAAGAGUGAAUAAAUAAAUAAAUGGAAUAAUAAAAAUAACAAUAAUUGGAUAAUAAUUACGAAGAUAGGAAUUUCGGAAUUUUGAAAUUUUGAAACAUUGACUUUAAGAAUUUGAAUAUUGGAAAAUUACAUUUAAAAUCAAAACCUUUUUAAAUUAUCACGAGAAUUGAAUUUUGAAAGAGUAAAACUUGAAAAAUAAUAAUAAGCGAAUGAAUAGAUAAAUAAAUGAGCAAAUAAAUAAACAAUAUUGGAGUUUGGGAAAAUUGAAUAUCAAGAAUUCGAGUUAUACGAACUGAAUUUAGAUUUAAAAUUGAGGAGGUUAUUUCGGAAAUGCUACAUAAAUAUAAAUAUGUUUUUGAGAACAAAUGAAUGGAUCAGUAAAUCUAGGACUUUGAAAUUUUAAGGGAUUUUAUAAGGGUCAUUUGAGAACGUGAAACAAAGGAAAGGAGAAUGACUAAAAUAACAUAAACAAAGAAAAAUAAAACUCUUAGUGCUGGGAGUUAGGAAAUGAGGCAAUGAUGGCCACUGCAUGCGCCUUGGAGGGUGGCUGGUGCGGACUAGGACUCGACGUCGCAACCCUCCACAGCGAGAGGAUCGUCCUCACAGCUGCUGCCGCCGCCGCUGACGGCGGUGAGGAGACCACCCACGGAGAUGAUAGAGUCGGCACGCCAUGCACGCGGGGAGUCAGGCGUGUCAUCACUUGCUGUCUUUCCCGGUGAGAGUCUGAUUCCGAUUAGAAAUUUGAAAGAAACUGACCACACACCCCAUCUGCUCCUCUAUCUGCCUCUCCAGAAAUUUUCAAAGUCCGCAUUAAUUCUGAGAAUCUGGUCCUUAUCCGACGAGAGCUCCUUCGAUAAGGCUGCCACUCUUUUUUUAAGAUCAAUAUUCGCAUCCUUAAUGGAUCUAAUAAAAGCUUCUAACUCAGCUGCUUUAAAUUCAUCAUUGCUCGUUUAAAACUUCUUUGUAUGGAGCCACCAAGUCUUCUCCCCUUUUCACUAGCUCAGGUACCAAGUUCCGUCAACAUCCAAGAACCAAUCUCCAGCAUUAUCAACGAAUGAUGCACAUAAUGCAACGCAUCCAAAGUACCGACAGAGAACAGAGGACAGCAACCAAGAAAAACAGAGUAUGGAGGAUGAAACCAAGAUGAACCGGUGAAGGCCACAUUUUGCGUUUUUGGUUCCCUAGCUUAGAAGUAGAUAUGAACUA
RNAcentral lists this long non-coding RNA (21911 nucleotides) under Vitis vinifera (wine grape). Its description in RNAcentral is "long non-coding RNA (VVIN_LNC001463)". Lineage: Eukaryota; Viridiplantae; Streptophyta; Magnoliopsida; Vitales; Vitaceae. The record is from RNAcentral.